AUUGAACGCUGGCGGCAGGCUUAGCACAUGCAAGUCGAGCGGGGUGAUGGUGCUUGCACUAUCACUUAGCGGCGGACGGGUGAGUAAUGCUUAGGAAUCUGCCUAUUAGUGGGGGACAACAUCUCGAAAGGGAUGCUAAUACCGCAUACGUCCUACGGGAGAAAGCAGGGGAUCACUUGUGACCUUGCGCUAAUAGAUGAGCCUAAGUCGGAUUAGCUAGUUGGUGGGGUAAAGGCCUACCAAGGCGACGAUCUGUAGCGGGUCUGAGAGGAUGAUCCGCCACACUGGGACUGAGACAUGGCCCAGACUCCUACGGGAGGCAGCAGUGGGGAAUAUUGGACAAUGGGGGGAACCCUGAUCCAGCCAUGCCGCGUGUGUGAAGAAGGCCUUAUGGUUGUAAAGCACUUUAAGCGAGGAGGAGGCUCUUUUGGUUAAUACCCAAGAUGAGUGGACGUUACUCGCAGAAUAAGCACCGGCUAACUCUGUGCCAGCAGCCGCAGUAA
This 503-nucleotide ribosomal RNA is filed under the name uncultured bacterium. Its description in RNAcentral is "partial 16S ribosomal RNA". It matches the Rfam family "Bacterial small subunit ribosomal RNA", at positions 30 to 523 of the family's 1533-position model. The record is from RNAcentral.